UAUCACUUGAUAAAGGAGUAUUGUUAGUGAAAGAAAACAUUGUUGUAUUCUUUGGUAUUUUUAGUGGUUUGGAAUAUAGUUAAUUGUGUGACCCUAAUACGUAAGCUCAUGCGGUUAAUAUUUUCUUGCGUUUGAAUCAUCUUCUAGAUGUUUAUUCUGAAAGAAAUUUGUAGAAUAAGUAAAACGACAAUCACAUUUUGGUGCCACUACCAGGGAUUGACGAUAGUAUUGAGUGUUAGGAUUUAACUGCCAAAUGAGUAAGUUUUGGAUAUUACACGAAGACAUUAUAAAAUCAAAAUUAGUUCAAAAGUAAAGAAAAAUGUGUAGUUAGAUGGAGAUAGGAAGCAAAUUUAGCACUAUAUAAUAAAAGAUUAUGGUUAUUAAGAAUGAA
Molecule: long non-coding RNA, 391 nt
Filed under: Physcomitrium patens
Lineage: Eukaryota; Viridiplantae; Streptophyta; Bryopsida; Funariales; Funariaceae
Description: long non-coding RNA (PPAT_LNC012210)
Source: RNAcentral